This 347-nucleotide unclassified non-coding RNA is filed under the name Hevea brasiliensis (rubber tree). Lineage: Eukaryota; Viridiplantae; Streptophyta; Magnoliopsida; Malpighiales; Euphorbiaceae. The record is from RNAcentral.
CAAACACAUGCAAAGAUAAGAGUUGCAGAUGCUAUUCCUGGUGUAGACCAGAGAGUAAUUAUUAUUUAUAACCACCCAUCGGAGCAGCCCAGUGAAGUUGGUAAUAAUGAAGAUGUUGAAGAAGCUGAUGAACACAAGGAUAUGCAACCACAUUGUCCAGCCCAGGAUGCUCUUCUUAAGGUACAUGAUAGGGUUGUUGCAGAUGAGUAUCUACAGGAUGGGGUCUUUCAUGAAAAGACCAAACUUGAUGAUGAAGUUACUGCCCGCAUUUUGGUUCAAAGCAAUCAGAUUGGCUGUCUUAUCGGCAAGGGCGGAACGAUUAUAAAAAAACUGCGGACUGAUACUGG